RNAcentral lists this ribosomal RNA (420 nucleotides) under uncultured bacterium. RNAcentral's name for it is "bacterial SSU rRNA". It matches the Rfam family "Bacterial small subunit ribosomal RNA", at positions 918 to 1341 of the family's 1533-position model. The record is from RNAcentral.
GGCCCGCACAAGCGGUGGAGUAUGUGGUUUAAUUCGACGCAACGCGCAGAACCUUACCCAGUCUUGACAUCCUUUGCUCGCCAUAGAGAUAUGGUUUUUCCCUUAACGGGGAACAGAGUGACAGGUGCUGCAUGGCUGUCGUCAGCUCGUGUCGUGAGAUGUUCGGUUAAGUCCGGUAACGAGCGCAACCCCUAUCCUUAGUUGCCAAUUAUGGAACUCUAAGGAGACUCCCGGUGUUAAACCGGAGGAAGAUGGGGAUGACGUCAAGUCCUCAUGGCCCUUACGACUGGGGCUACACACGUACUACAAUGGCAUCUACAAAGAGUCGCUAAAUCGCGAGAUCACGCUAAUCUCAAAAAAGAUGCCUCAGUUCGGAUUGGAGUCUGCAACUCGACUCCAUGAAGUUGGAAUCGCUAGUAA